ACGAAUCUCGAAUGGAAGAUAAUGAUCAAGAAAUGCCUCUUUGAACUCCUUCCAAGUAGCUGGGGGUGCAUCAAUACCCCUAGAUCGUUUCCAGUCCUCAUACCAAUAUAUAGCCUCCCCUUUAAAUCUAUACGCCGCUAACUCCACUGUCUCUCUACCCGUUACAUGCAUAACAUCCAAGGCCCUUUGAAUUUGAUCGAUAAAGUCCUGUGGGUCCUCGUUAAGAUCUGAUCCAGUAAAAGUGGGAGGAUCCAUCUUAAGAAAAUCCUGUGUUCGAAGGCUAGCCGCCCUAUCUAUACCACUAGGACCUGCAGUAGGAAUGGCUUGCCCUUGAGCUUGCCCAGCAACUAUACGAGUCAAAAGUUGCACUGCAUUUCUAAGAUCUUGAUCAACAAUAUUAAUAGGUGGCUCUGCGGAUAUAGUUCUCCUCCCCCUUAUUUCUUCCGGAGUGGAAGAAGUUUCUGAUGCAUGCUUAGCUGGAGCCUCACUUUGAUUAGCUGGUAUAGUGGGUGAAUUACUAGUCCCCUCUCCGGCAGCCACAUCUACUUGCUUACCGGUAUU
This 561-nucleotide long non-coding RNA is filed under the name Capsicum annuum. RNAcentral's name for it is "long non-coding RNA (CANN_LNC004739)". Lineage: Eukaryota; Viridiplantae; Streptophyta; Magnoliopsida; Solanales; Solanaceae. The record is from RNAcentral.